GUGGGGAAUUUUGGACAAUGGGCGCAAGCCUGAUCCAGCAAUGCCGCGUGCAGGAAGAAGGCCUUCGGGUUGUAAACUGCUUUUGUCAGGGAAGAAAUCUUCUGGGCUAAUACCCCGGGAGGAUGACGGUACCUGAAGAAUAAGCACCGGCUAACUACGUGCCAGCAGCCGCGGUAAUACGUAGGGUGCGAGCGUUAAUCGGAAUUACUGGGCGUAAAGCGUGCGCAGGCGGUUAUGUAAGACAGAUGUGAAAUCCCCGGGCUCAACCUGGGAACUGCAUGUGUGACUGCAUGACUGGAGUGCGGCAGAGGGGGAUGGAAUUCCGCGUGUAGCAGUGAAAUGCGUAGAUAUGCGGAGGAACACCGAUGGCGAAGGCAAUCCCCUGGGCCUGCACUGACGCUCAUGCACGAAAGCGUGGGGAGCAAACAGGAUUAGAUACCCCAGUAGUCC
Molecule: ribosomal RNA, 450 nt
Filed under: uncultured bacterium
Lineage: Bacteria
Description: partial 16S ribosomal RNA
Rfam family: Bacterial small subunit ribosomal RNA
Source: RNAcentral